RNAcentral lists this ribosomal RNA (507 nucleotides) under uncultured bacterium. RNAcentral's name for it is "partial 16S ribosomal RNA". It matches the Rfam family "Bacterial small subunit ribosomal RNA", at positions 29 to 523 of the family's 1533-position model. The record is from RNAcentral.
AGUGAACGCUGGCGGUAGGCCUAACACAUGCAAGUCGAACGGUAGCACAGAGGAGCUUGCUCCUUGGGUGACGAGUGGCGGACGGGUGAGGAAUGCAUCGGAAUCUACUCUUUCGUGGGGGAUAACGUAGGGAAACUUACGCUAAUACCGCAUACGACCUACGGGUGAAAGCAGGGGACCUUCUAGGCCUUGCGCGAUUGAAUGAGCCGAUGUCCGAUUAGCUGGUUGGCGGGGUAAUGGCCCACCAAGGCGACGAUCGGUAGCUGGUCUGAGAGGAUGAUCAGCCACACUGGAACUGAGACACGGUCCAGACUCCUACGGGAGGCAGCAGUGGGGAAUAUUGGACAAUGGGCGCAAGCCUGAUCCAGCCAUACCGCGUGGGUGAAGAAGGCCUUCGGGUUGUAAAGCCCUUUUGUUGGGAAAGAAAAGCAGCCGGCUAAUACCCGGUUGUUCUGACGGUACCCAAAGAAUAAGCACCGGCUAUCUUCGUGCCAGCCGCCGCCGUAA